ACAGUACGAAAGAGAAGCAGCACAGCCAGGCCACAUCCCACACUGCCAAGAGAUGCAGAUGCUGGUGAUGCAGGUUCUUGUUCAGCAAACCCCCCUCCACUAAGGCGCCCAUCACAGGGCUCGGAUCCUCAACAUAGGAGGCCAACCAAGAGACGCCGUCUUGAGGCUGAAUCACCAGCAGCAUCCUCAGCACCCCAACGGCGCAUCUCCAUAGUGUCGGCCCUGCCACCACAAGCCAUUUUGGCAAGCCCAGAAAGCGAGGAUCCUCAAUCCCCUCAGCUGUCUGAACCACACAUCAUGGCCGACGAUGCCCAGCAGGAAAGUGACCAGCAGGAUACCUACACACUACACCUGCAAGCCAUAGAUCCUACCCAGACAACCACGCCGCAGGACAUACUCCAACCACCCCAAACAUCCCACAGCCCCCAAUUGAGCCCAACACCACCCUAGCAACAAAUGGCCCCCGAGUUUUGUAGCAGUUGGGCCACACAACAGGCGCAACACUAUGCGUGACUGAACACCCACACCCAAUACCUUGCCAGUCUGCCCCAUCAUCUGCCGCGACUCAGUCGGAACUCAGACAGACUGAUAGUUCAGGUUGGCAGAAUUGCCAAUUCAAUGGAGCAGAUGAGGGCAGACAACACCCAAAUGCAAGCCAAUCUGCAACGCAUCAUGGAUGAACAACAGCGGCAACAACAAACCCUAAUUCAACUGAUUCAACACAACCAAAUGAUUAACGAAAACCUGUCCAGAAUUAUAGCAAACAACACUGCCGCUAAUACCCAAAUGACUGCAAGCCUAAAUAACCUCAGCCAAAGCCUUAAUGUGUUGGCAUCACACCAAGUAAGCUCUAGCUCGGGAACAACUACACAAAGCCAAACCCCAGUUAACUCGCCAGUUAGACGCUCAAGCCGAACCCGGCCCAACGAACCAGGGCAAGCCUCUGCACACAGCACACACACACACAAAAAAAUAAUAAUGACGCCUGCAGAAAAUAGUUUGUUCCAAAUAAUGUUUUUUGAUUUGUUACACCAAAAAUGCCUGUGUUAAAGGUAAUAAAUUA
Molecule: long non-coding RNA, 1063 nt
Organism: Pseudophryne corroboree (corroboree frog)
Lineage: Eukaryota; Metazoa; Chordata; Amphibia; Anura; Myobatrachidae
Exons: 3
Source: RefSeq, a predicted model, not a curated record